RNAcentral lists this ribosomal RNA (894 nucleotides) under uncultured bacterium. Its description in RNAcentral is "bacterial SSU rRNA". It matches the Rfam family "Bacterial small subunit ribosomal RNA", at positions 505 to 1402 of the family's 1533-position model. The record is from RNAcentral.
GUUUCAGCAGCCGCGGUAAUACGGAAGGUCCGGGCGUUAUCCGGAUUUAUUGGGUUUAAAGGGAGCGUAGGCCGGAGAUUAAGCGUGUUGUGAAAUGUAGAUGCUCAACAUCUGCACUGCAGCGCGAACUGGUUUCCUUGAGUACGCACAAAGUGGGCGGAAUUCGUGGUGUAGCGGUGAAAUGCUUAGAUAUCACGAAGAACUCCGAUUGCGAAGGCAGCUCACUGGAGCGCAACUGACGCUGAAGCUCGAAAGUGCGGGUAUCGAACAGGAUUAGAUACCCUGAUAGUCCGCACGGUAAACGAUGGAUGCCCGCUGUUGGUCUGAAUAGGUCAGCGGCCAAGCGAAAGCAUUAAGCAUCCCACCUGGGGAGUACGCCGGCAACGGUGAAACUCAAAGGAAUUGACGGGGGCCCGCACAAGCGGAGGAACAUGUGGUUUAAUUCGAUGAUACGCGAGGAACCUUACCCGGGCUUGAAUUGCAGAGGAAGGAUUUGGAGACAAUGACGCCCUUCGGGGUCUCUGUGAAGGUGCUGCAUGGUUGUCGUCAGCUCGUGCCGUGAGGUGUCGGCUUAAGUGCCAUAACGAGCGCAACCCCUCUCCUUAGUUGCCAUCAGGUCAGGCUGGGCACUCUGGGGACACUGCCACCGUAAGGUGUGAGGAAGGUGGGGAUGACGUCAAAUCAGCACGGCCCUUACGUCCGGGGCUACACACGUGUUACAAUGGCAGGUACAGAGAGAUGGUGUUCUGCAAAGCGCAUCUAAUCCUUAAAGCCUGUCUCAGUUCGGACUGGGGUCUGCAACCCGACCCCACGAAGCUGGAUUCGCUAGUAAUCGCGCAUCAGCCAUGCCGCGGUGAAUACGUUCCCGGGCCUUGUACACACCGCCCGUCAAAC